GCAUUUGCUAAUAAGGUGGUGAGGAAGAGGAAAAUGAGAAUAUACUAUAGUACGCAGCAUUUUAUCAACAUAUAAGUUACUGUGGCAACUCCAAAGAAUGAAUCAACAGGUGAAAGUCACUUUCUUUGUCAUUUAUGACUUUCUAGAUAAUCCAUAAUUAAGUGUCAUAUAAGUUUAUUCUUUUGAAUUGACAUAUCCAAUUCUUUUCCAAAUACACUAGUUAAAUCAAGAAAAUUUUGGAUAUAUUAAUUAGUAAAUUGAUAAUAAUUGUAAUUUUACAUUCACACUUUAAAUUAGUACCUGAUGAAGAGGUAUUGAUAGUAUGUUUUUAUGAUAUUUGAUUUAGGGCGCUGUGUAAAGAUUGUAAAGUCAUCCCGAGUGAGAACCUUUCGACCCAACAUAGGCUCUUGGUUAUGGAUUUGGGUAUGAAGAAGAAUAAAAAGAGGAGGAGUAAGGAGUGUAGACCGAGAAUUAAGUGGGGCGGUUUGACGCCAGUGAAUGCGUGGGAGAUAGGGGAGAGGUUGGCGGGAAUGGGGGUGUGGGAGUGUAGGGGGGACGUGGAUAAUAUGUGGGACAGGGCGGCAGCGUGCAUCAGGGAAAAUGCAAGGGAGGUGUUGGGUGUUUCUAGGGGCCGGGCCGGACAUCAUCGGGGGGAUUGGUGGUGGAAUGAAGAGGUGGGGAAGAAAGUGGAGACCAAGAAAGAGUCGUAUGCUAAGUUGGUGGAAAGUAAGGACGAAGAAGAGAAGCGGGUAAACAGGAAAGAGUACAAGCUAGCAAGGAAGGAGGCGAAGUCAGCGGUCACGGCAGCUAAGACGGCUGCUUUUGAGAGCUUGUAUGCAGGGUUACAGGGGAAAGGAGGGGAGAAAAAGUUGUUCCGACUCGCUAAGGCUAGGGAGAGGAAGGGUCGUGACCUCGAUCAGGUGCGGUGCAUUAAGGGGGAGGACGGUAGAGUGUUGGUGGAGGACGGCCACAUAAAGAAGAGAUGGCAGUCGUACUUUCAUAGGCUCUUGAAUGACGAGGGGGACAGAGCUAUUGUGUUAGGGGAACUGGAGCACUCAGGGGAGUGUCGGGAUUUUAGCUAUUGUAGACGUUUUAAGGUAGACGAGGUUAGACAGGCAGUCCGCAGGAUGCGAAGGGGUAGGGCGACGGGGCCGGAUGAGAUACCGGUGGAGUUUUGGAAGUUCGUUGGAGAGGCUGGUGUAAGGUGGUUGACUGCAUUGUUCAAUGAAAUUUUCAGGACAGCAAAGAUGCCCGAGGCGUGGAGGUGGAGUACCAUGAUCCCCCUCUAUAAGAAUAAGGGGGACAUUCAGUGUUGCAAUAACUAUAGGGGGAUUAAGUUACUGAGUCACUCUAUGAAGAUCUGGGAGAGAGUGGUCGAGGUGAGGCUGAGACGGAUAGUGUCUAUCUCGGAAAACCAGUUCGGAUUUAUGCCCGGCCGCUCGACGACGGAGGCAAUUCACCUGGUACGGCGGUUGGUGGAGCAAUAUAGGGAAAGGAAGAAGGAUUUGCACAUGGUGUUCAUCGACCUAGAAAAGGCGUACGACAAAGUCCCCAGGGAGGUGCUUUGGAGAUGCUUGGAGGUGAGUGGAGUACCGCAGGCAUAUAGCAGAGUAAUUAAGGAUAUGUAUGAGGGAGCGAAAACCCAGGUGAGGACGGCGGGAGGAGACUCAGAGCAUUUCACUGUCCUGACAGGAUUGCAUCAGGGAUCUACUCUUAGUCCCUUUUUGUUUGCGCUAGUAAUGGAUGUGUUAACGCGGCGUAUCCAAGGGGAGGUGCCGUGGUGUAUGCUUUUUGCAGACGAUGUAGUCCUGAUAGAUGAGACGCGAGGGGGUGUGAACGACAAAUUAGAGCUGUGGAGGCAAACUCUGGAGUCUAAAGGGUUCAGGGUGAGCAGAACCAAGACAGAGUAUGUGGAAUGUAAGUUUAAUGACGUAAGGCGAGAGAAUGAGGUAGUGGUGAGGCUAGAAGCGCAGGAGGUAAAGAAAAGGGAUAAGUUCAAGUACCUCGGGUCCGUGAUCCAGAGUAACGGUGAGAUUGACGAGGAUGUCUCGCACCGUAUCGGGGCGGGAUGGAUGAAGUGGAAACUUGCAUCGGGGGUGCUGUGUGAUAAGAAGGUGCCGCCCAAGCUUAAAGGUAAAUUCUAUAGGGUGGUAGUCCGUCCGGCCUUGCUGUAUGGAGCGGAGUGUUGGCCAGUUAAGAACUCCCACACCCAAAGAAUGAAGGUGGCAGAAAUGCGGAUGUUGCGCUGGAUGUGUGGACUGACCCGAAGGGAUAGAGCUCGGAAUGAGACUAUCCGGGAGAAGGUUGGGGUGACUUCAGUGGAGUGUAAGAUGCGGGAAGCACGAUUGAGAUGGUUCGGACACGUGAAGAGGAGGGGCAUGGAUGCCCCGGUCCGUAGGUGUGAGAGGCUAGCGUUGGAUGGUUUUAGACGGGGUAGGGGUAGACCGAAGAAGUACUGGGGUGAGGUGAUUAGGCGGGACAUGGAACAGUUACAGCUUACCGAGGACAUGACCCUAGAUAGGAAGGUCUGGAAGACGCGAAUUACGGCAGAGGAUUAGGGCCUGUUCGGGUCGCUAAUGUAGGGAGGUAAUUGGUGGGGGUGUAUUCCUGGUAUGAUUCCGUAUUCAAUGUUCUGUUCCGUGUUCCGUGUUCUAUGUUUGUUACGAAUCUGUGUGCUUUCCUCUGCUUUAUAUUCCUGCUUUCCUGCUUUACUCUGUUUUAUAUUCCUUAUGGCUGCAGUAUCUAUGUUAUGUCAUCUGCUUCUGUGCUGUACUAUGUGUUUGUUUGAUAUCUCGUAACUUGAGCCGGGGGUCUUUCGGAAACAGCCUUUCUACUUCAUCAGAGGUAGAGGUAUGGACUGCGUACAUCUUACCCCCCCAGACCCCACAAAGUGGGAAUACACUGGGUUUGUUGUUGAUUUAGUAUAUUUAGCAUUCAAUUGAUGAUCUAAACGCACAGGACUUUUCUUUGUAUUUGUUAAUCAUCAACAUUUAACGAAUUAUUAAUUGAUUAUUUAAUUAUCAAAGUAUUAUGUUAAAUUUAUAGUGAUGUUCCUUAUUUGAAGCAAAUUGAAGAUAUUAUAAAUUUAUAACUAAUUUAAAUAUAACAUUUUUAAAAUAAAAGAAAUCAAAAGUAUUUUCUUAAUAUAUAUAUUAAAAUCAAAAUUUAUCGACAAUUAAGGGAUUAAUCGUGCAAUUAUCCCUGAGUGAGUUAUGACUACUGAGUACGUUUAUGGAUAAUUCAGAAUCGAAAAAUGAAAUUAGGGUUGUGAGGUCGUGAGGCGCCGCUGAUAUAGAAUUGUGAAGUGAAUAUUGAAUAAUGAAUUAGGGUUGAGGUGUUAUAACUUAUAUUCCCGUGUCAUUUUAUAUAUCAUAGUUUGACUGGACAAGAAGUUUACCAAAUAAGAAAAGACUUGAUGUUGUUUAUCGAAUUGUCCUUUAUUAAAAAAAAAUGUAUUAUUACUAUUUUUAAUUAAGUGGAACCUUAUAUGUGAAACCAAUAAGGAUAAAAGUGAAAUUGUGUUUUAAAAUUGUUACCAACAAAGAAAAGAUUACAUUCUUUUUGGGACUGACAAAAAAGGAAAUGACAACGACUUGGGCCUAUUGUUGGGUUGUGUAUGUAUAUACUUUAAAUAUAAUAAAUAUUAAUAUAUUAUUUAUAUAAUUUCGAUUUAAUCGAAUUAUUUUUUUGAAAAAUUCAAAAAUCAAAUCAUUUAAUUAAAUUUCUAAAAUUUGAAAUCGAAAUCGAAAAAUCAAAACUAAGUUACUGCAGCAUAAGCUAAGUUUUAAGAACCCAAAACAAAUAAGAUGAAGAUACUGCAGUCAUUUAGACCAGUAGCAUUAGCAGCCGCUUAUGAUGGUAAAGGAGAUUAUCCCUUUAUGAUGUGAAAUUGAGAGAUCAACUUGAUUAGCAAAGGUGGUGGCUGCAUCAUUUAUUUGACCAAGUGUAGAAAGAAACAUAUGUAAAAAGAAAUAAUUUAGUUUUAAGAAAUUGCAGAUGUAUUUGUCCUGAUGACAAAUUAGUAGAAAGGAGUUUGGAAAUGACAAGUGGAUAGUGCUAGUCAAAGAUAGCUUGGACCUCUGAAAUUUAGCUAGAAUAUCACCCUGAUUUGAGCUUGCUCAAGUGGUUGAGUACAUCCACCAUUGACCGAUAGGUUGUUGGUUCGAGUCACGGUGGAGGGUAAGUAGGAAUAUUGUUGAUCCUCCUAAAAAAGAGAACAAAAGAAAAGUUUUAUUAAACUUGAGUUUGAAGCACACGUAACAAAUAUUGUUGGAAGGUGAUUGCAUUGUGGUGAACGUAUUGAAUUUUCUGCUAUUUGAAAAAAUAUUUAAAAUUUCCAAUUUGUAACAUCUAUGUACUGAUGUCUGGUAUUAGCCAACUGAGGUAAAGCAUUGGCUGAAUGAAGAUCCUGAUGGUUCAUUUGUAUGUUCUUGACAAAUUACUGUUCCAUAAAUCAUAUUUGGACAAAAUGAGAACCUUACUUAAACAUAAAUUGUCUGGUAAACUUAGUUCCAAAAUUGAUGUCAGAGUGAGGUCUUGUACAUGAAGAAUGAAGGGACUCUCACAAUUGAUAUUAGAGUGUGUUAUAAGAAAACAACUACUACUAGUUAUAUAGUUGUGUAUUUAAAAAGUGCAAAUUCACAGGUUGUGCAGAUUAGAGUUUUGAGGGUAUGCUCUGAUUAGCUGUCUCAUUUACCAUAAUCUUCAUGAGUUCAUUUUUAAUUUGUCCAUGUAAUUUGCGUCCUUGAUAUCUUCUGCAGAAAUGAAGUCAAGGAAAUCACCGAAGCUUCCUUCUUUGUUGGACAAGAUAUGUUGAUUGACAAGCUUUGAUGCAGGUUUAACUUUUUUACCUAAAGCUAGACUAUGAAGGCUGGCAAUCGAAAUGCGCUUUUUUUGUGUGUGAACUGUUGCUCGGUGGAGAACGCUUUUGUAUAUCCCAUUGCUCAAUACUUUCCAUGUGAUCUCCCAGCAGAAAAACGAG
RNAcentral lists this long non-coding RNA (4981 nucleotides) under Capsicum annuum. RNAcentral describes it as "long non-coding RNA (CANN_LNC001890)". The record is from RNAcentral. Lineage: Eukaryota; Viridiplantae; Streptophyta; Magnoliopsida; Solanales; Solanaceae.